AACCAGCACCUCAAGUGGUCAGGAUGAUUAUUGGGCCUAAAGCAUCCGUAGCCGGCUCUGUAAGUUUUCGGUUAAAUCUGUACGCUCAACGUACAGGCUGCCGGGAAUACUGCAGAGCUAGGGAGUGGGAGAGGUARACGGUACUCGGUAGGAAGGGGUAAAAUCCUUUGAUCUAUUGAUGACCACCUGUGGCGAAGGCGGUCUACCAGAACACGUCCGACGGUGAGGGAUGAAAGCUGGGGGAGCAAACCGGAUUAGAUACCCGGGUAGUCCCAGCUGUAAACUAUGCAAACUCAGUGAUGCAUUGACUUGUGGUCAAUGCAGUGCUGCAGGGAAGCCGUUAAGUUUGCCGCCUGGGAAGUACGUACGCAAGUAUGAAACUUAA
Molecule: ribosomal RNA, 385 nt
Filed under: uncultured crenarchaeote
Lineage: Archaea; Thermoproteati; Thermoproteota
Description: bacterial SSU rRNA
Rfam family: Archaeal small subunit ribosomal RNA
Source: RNAcentral